AAUGAAAAAUGGAGGAUUGUCAAGAACGUUUAUAAAUACCGCUUUUUCAUUUGUUUUGAACGUUUAUUUUUAUUAUAUUAACAUGCGCAUGCGUGUAUAUAAUGUCUACAAAUUUCGUACAUCUGCCACACAAAGUACACAAUAAAUAAAAAUUAUUUUUUUCAGUUCUAUGAAUUCCGUCCGCAUCGUGUCGUCAAUUUAAUAAUUAUCGGCGAUUAUAGAGUGGUCUCAAUAGGAUAUUUAGAUAAACAGACCACGGACGUUACUGGAGUUUCCAAUACAGGCAUUUAUUUCUUAUCUGUCAGAGGCUGAAAUAUGUCGAACUUUGUCAAAUUCACACCUCUUAGGUCUACUACAGAUUGUACUUUUUGGGCUAAAUUUGCAGAACUGAAAAUAGAUAAAUUCAAAUUGGAUGAAAAAUCAGUAAUUAAUUUAUGGGGAAUGUACAAUCUCGAAUCUCUACAAGAAGAGAAUAAUAAUCCAUUAGUAAUGGAUUGCACAUCAUUCAAUGAAGAUACGGAAACAUUUAAUCAUAAUUCAUCUGUAGUUUGUUCGGGGCACAUGAUUAAUACCAAUACUUUUGAAUCAUUUCGAAAGAUAGAUCCUGAGAAACUUAUUGAUACUGUUGGAAAGGAUUUAAUUAUUAGUAUUCAAGAUGGAUCAGUAUUACAGAAACCAUGGAAAUUGUCACUAUUUUUAAUUGUGGCUUAUUCAGAUUUAAAAAAGUAUAGAUUUCAUUAUUGGGUUGCGCAUCCUACUCCUUCAAAAUUGCCUGAAAUGUAUUAUCAGGGGAAUCCAAAACUAGUUGAUGAAGAAUUCCCGAAUACUUUUGAUAAUCUAUGUAAAGGCUUUUCUCAAUUGGAUAGCAGAUCUAAAAAUUAUUUUUCUGUCUUAAUAUCUAAGGAAGGUGACAUGAGUAUUGUUGACUUAGCAACAGGAGUUAAUACUAUUAUGACAAAUGCAGCUGAUUCAAAAGGAUUGCAGGAUAACAGCGAAGUUUACUUUGCAUUUUAUGAUCCUUGUACAAGUAUUCAACCUGGGUGGCCAUUACGCAAUUUGCUGUGUCUAUUGUUCUGGCACUGUCCUACAUAUUGCUUCACAAAAAUUAUUAAAAUUAUAUCUGUACGAGGAAAUAAAGCACACAAAAGUAUUGUUUUCAAAUUAAAAACUAAGGAAUAUGAUGAUUCCAAAGCAUUUAGAGAAACUAUAUUUGAUUGUCCUUUGGUUGGCUGGGAGAGAAACGCAGCUGGUAAAAUGGGCCCUACUAUAAUUGAUUUAUCACAUUACAUGGAUCCAGCCAAAUUGUUGGAUAGAGCUAUUAACCUGAACUUGAAAUUAAUGAAAUGGCGUCUGGUCCCAGAUUUAGAUUUAGAAAAGGUUAGUAAUCUUAGAUGCCUUCUAUUGGGUGCUGGCACUUUGGGUUGUGCUGUAGCAAGAGUACUUCUUGGAUGGGGAGUGAACAACAUAACUUUUGUUGAUAGCUCCAAUGUUUCUCAUAGUAACACUGUGAGACAAAGUUUAUAUAAUCAUGAAGAUGCUGUGAAACAUAAGUACAAGGCUCAUGCAGCUAGAGACGCACUGCUUAGUAUCAGACCAACUAUGAACGCAAAUGGCGUGGUCCUACACAUCCCAAUGCCUGGACACGUUGUUGGUCAAAGUAUGAUGGCGUCUACAAAAAAAUCACUGGAACAAUUAGAGGAUCUUGUCGAGAAGAACGACGUAGUUUUUCUUUUAUUGGAUUCCCGUGAAGCCAGGUGGUUACCCACUGUUCUAUGCGCAGCGAUGAACAAAAUCGCUAUCAACGCAGCUUUAGGCUUCGACUCGUAUACAGUGCAGAGGCACGGUACACGCGAUCUUUCAGUUCCGUUUUCUCCAGAUUUGGAUAUAAAGAAUCCUUGUGGUGUAGAUUUGGGUUGUUACUUUUGUAACGACGUAACACAGCCAGGAAAUUCACAAACUGAUAGAACAUUGGACCAACAAUGCACCGUUAGUAGGCCAGGUUUAUCACAAAUGGCUGCAGGAUUAGCUGUUGAAUUACUGGUAGCCAUAACACAACAUCCUCAGGGCAUCGAAGCUAGAGCAUUAGUGGGUAAUAACAGGGACAGUAUUAGUCAAAACGAUACUGAAUUAGUUGGACUGUUAGGAUGUGUGCCGCAUACGAUACGCGGGUCUCUCUGGAAUUAUGAUAUGCAGUUGACAAUUACGCAUAGGUUCACUGCCUGCACAGCGUGUUCUGUGCCUGUUAUCACGGAAUAUAAAAACCGUGGUUUAUCGUUUGUAUUGGAUGCGUGCAAUGUGCCGAAUUACUUAGAAAAUUUGUCUGGAUUGGAACAGAUAUUGAAAAGAUCCGAUAUAGAGGAUCUUUGCUAUGCGUUGGAUAACAUAAGCGACGACGAAGAAGAUCAAAAAAGUGAUAUGCCUUGAAAACUCAUCACACGUGUACACAUUUUACCUUGGACGAAGAUGCGUUGUUACAUGUACAUAGAUUAAGAUCGCGCUGCAACGGGCAAAUACCAUACAUUCCAUUGUAAUGUUGAAGUAGUGGGGAAGCGAGGCUGUCUCUCGUAUGUCAAGCAGCCUGUGUUCCGUGUGUCCGCCCGCAUACCAUUAGAUUUUCAUCAUUUUCAAUGAAAAUACGUGCCGUGUGUUAAUUCGACAUGCCAUCGUACGUCGUGCCGAAUGUUUGAUCGCAGUUUCGCGCGGGUGUCAUCGCGUAACGUUCGUAUUGGUUAUGGCUGUAUGCGUGUGUGUGCAUUGCAUGCUGUAUGCAUUGUUACGCGAUACUCAAAUGCGUUCAACGUUUCGUUGAUUCAUCGCUUUCAACAAAUUCCGUUUACCGAUAAUUUUUUAUCGUUAUCAAACUUUGGCGGUCUCUGAAAUCCGGUAAUCUACUUACGCCGAAACACUACGGGAGGUAUCAUGUAAUAUUUUCCAAACAAACUAAAAAGAAUAACGCGAUAAUUAAUGUGGUGAUUAAAUUUUAUCGAGAAUCGGACAAGCGUAAAUUGCGAGAGUUAAUCGAGGAGUAAGCAAAUAACGUGGAAGGGUUGCGUUUGUGGACUUUCCAUUUUACGAAGAGCAAAGAGGAAUGCGAGAGUAUCGAGAGAUAGGGUAAUUCCUGGAAAGAAUGUCAAUUUCGAGAGGCCAUUGUUUAUAUCGUUCGAAUGAAAUUGCGAUGCCGUACGACGCCGGUUGCGUGGAAGUUUGGAAAGAGAGCAGGGGGCGUGAUACGGGAGUGAGAAGAGAAACAGUGGCUAGUGAUGGACUCAAGAAGUUGUAGAAUUCAUGUUUCAUAGCAGGAAUGUGCAGCAAUGUCCCAAUAUCGAGAACCCUGAAGUAUUCAUCUGAAGUCUCCAUAAGCUUUCCAUAAGGAUAUGAUCACCUGCUUCCUAUCAACAAAUCCAGCAAAUCCUCAACAUCCAUCAAAUUCGUCAUCAGUUUGAAAUUUGAAAGAAGUGGACCGUUUCAGAAUUAGAAGCAAUGCAAGACUUCCAGAAAUGACCUACUUUUGAAGUCCUCACUUUACAUCCGACAAAGAGCCAUUUCGUGUUAAAGACUGUUCUCAUCUAACGUUCGAAACUGUUCAAAAUCCGAUUCGUGUAGCGUGUCGAGUCUAUCGCUAGUCCAGCGCGCUAACGCGGAUUCCUACGUCGGUGCCGGGCUUCCAGCGGUUGCUCGUGGACGAGCACCUACAUCGGGCCGUCCUUCUAUUAACGAACUCGUCA
Molecule: unclassified non-coding RNA, 3725 nt
Organism: Megachile rotundata (alfalfa leafcutting bee)
Lineage: Eukaryota; Metazoa; Arthropoda; Insecta; Hymenoptera; Megachilidae
Source: RefSeq, a predicted model, not a curated record